Molecule: ribosomal RNA, 468 nt
Filed under: uncultured bacterium
Lineage: Bacteria
Description: partial 16S ribosomal RNA
Rfam family: Bacterial small subunit ribosomal RNA
Source: RNAcentral
GACGAACGCUGGCGGCGGGCUUAACACAUGCAAGUCGAACGGAAAGGCCCUGCUUUUGUGUGGUGCUCGAGUGGCGAACGGGUGAGUAACACGGGAGUAACCUGCCCUUUACUUUGGGAUAACUUCAGGAAACUGGUGCUACUACCGGAUAGGAGCUCCUGCUGCAUGGGGGUGGUUGGAAAGUUUAGGCGGUUGGGGAUGGACUCGCGGCUUAUAAGCUUGUGGGUGGGGUAGUUGCUUACCAAGGUUUUGGCGGGUAGCCGGCAUGAGAGGGUGACCGGCGACAUUGGGACUGAGAGACGGACCAGACUCCUACGGGAGGCAGCAGUGGGGAAUAUUGCACAAUGGGCGGAAGCCUGAUGAAGAAACGCCGCGUGCGGGAUGCAGGCCUUCGGGUUGUAAACCGCUUUAGCCUGUGACGAAGCGUGAGUGACGGUAAUAGGUAAAGAAGCACCGGCUAACUACGUG